ACAAAUCAAUAACAAUAAAUAAAUGAUUUAAUGAAGUCUACGGUUCAUCAAUCACUUGUAGUAGCAAGCGACUAGCAAGCAAAAAUGGAAGAUACAAUCUGAACCAUUAAUUCAGCAGAUAAUAACACUAAAUCAAGAACACUAAGUGAAGAUUACGGCUCAUUAGAUCCAUUGGCAGUUUACACAAUUGAUACUUGACCAAGAGUGUAGAAAGCCUUCUUUCUCUCUCAAUUUUGCCUUUUGUGUGUGUGUGCAUGUGUGUAGAUUGUGAAGAUUUGGAGCUGUAAAUUUGCAGCAAGUUGCAAAGGCUUGGAUCAAAGAAGCAGCUACCAGUAAAAGCUUCAUAGCAGGCUCAGGGAUGGCCAAUCAAGGUAUUGAAUACACAUCUCUCUCUCAAGCGUGUGUUUGAAAGGAUUUGCAAGAUCAUGGGGUUUUGAAUGAAAAUCAUUUCAGCAGUGAACGGCUUGGUUUCUACUUAGGGGUGGGCAAAAUUGGGUUCGGAUCAAUCCGAUUAGGUUCUAGGUUGUUCUGGUUAGGUAAAAAUUAAUCCGAAUGAAAUCCGAACUUAUAACCCGAUCCGAUCUGAUAUAUAUUCAGGUCGGAUUAAAUCGGGUCAAAAAAUCGGAUUGAAUUCGGAUGAGUUCGGGUUCGGAUAAGAGACCGGCCAAAGUCUUCAAAUGGGCAAAGCUUCAAUUUCAAAACUCAAAAGUCUCAAAACUCAAAAGGGGUCGGGUUGGAGGCUUAGAGCAAAAUCAGGUAUUCAGGUUACACUUGCAGUUGCUGUCAAGUUGGAGGCUUGGUGCAGUAGAUCAAUGGCACUUGGGAGCAGAUUGGUGGUCGACUGGCCGCGGACGCACAACAGCAAAUUGCAGACCCGUAACAAAUCGAGAUCGAGCAUGAAGAGGGGUCUUUCUUCUAGUCUAGAAUGAGAAGUUGCUGGUGCUUAGAGAUGAGAAGUUCAGCGAGGGAGAUGGUUGUGGGUUCGUGGCUGUGGCUGUCGGCGGCGUGAUGUGAGGGUAACUAGGUGAAGCCGUGAAGCUGUGUUGGGUCUUGUUCUCUUGGGUGUGUACUGUGUUGUGUGUGUGUUUUGUGUAAUACGUAUGUGAUCUGGGUUCUUUUGCUUCUUUGUCCAUGAUUUUUGUGUUUGUGAUGUGUAUGUGACUGUGUUUUGUGAAUCUGUCUGUGAUUUGUGUCAUUAUGUGUGUGGCUUGCGUGGGUUAGGUUUUUUUUUUUUUUUUUUAAAGUAACCCGAUCAGGUUUUCGGAUUGGAUCGGGUCAUAACCCGAUCGGGUUUAAAAGAUUUCAUCCGAUCAGAUAUUAUUAACAACCCGAUCCUAUCUAAACCAAAAACUUUUUGGGUCGGUUCAGGUCGGAUCAGGUAUUUUACCCACUCUUAUUUCUACUUCAAUAUGGUAUGUACUUACAAACAAGUAAAUUAAUAAGGGAAAUUAUCCCUCAAAGCAAUGAUUAUGAUAGUUCUAGAAGCUCAAAGUAAAAUAAAAAGGUACAAGUGUAAGAGUGAUGCUAUGCUUUCUCAGUUGAGAUAAUUUAUAUUGCAACGGAUGUGUCACCAGCAAAAAAAAUUCUUUAUUUGAAUUAGAAAUGAUAAAAAUUAAUAAUUAACUGUCACUCCAGCCAAUUAAAUAGUGAUGCAUCAUUUAUCAUAUCAGUAUCCCAACUAAGUAAGGAUAACAUUACUAUAAAUAGUGAUAUAUCAUUUAUCAUAUCAGUAUCCCAACUAAAUGCAAAGCACCUAAAUGAAUCCUCUCACACAAUGUAAGGCUUUAUAUAGCCCAUUAUGAGAUCUAGAAAGAUCUUUGUUUGUUAGCUUGAUUUUAGGUUGUUAUUUUCCUGCCAAUACCAACGACCUUAACCAUGUUUGACUGGUUUAGUGCUUUAUUACUAAAUUAAGCUUCUCACAAUGACAUUUUUUUUAUGGAGGAUGAGAAAAUGAAUGCAACACAUAACAACCGAUAUUCUCGUUUGCUUAUCAAUCCAGAUUUGAGAUAACACUUUCAGCACUAAAUCUGAGCACCAAAUGACUUUCAAAAUAAUAACAUAUUGUAAGGAGCUUUGUAAGAUCUUAAUCGUAGAUUAAACAAUGGAUAUCUUAGUAUUACAAAAUUUACUAAAAUUUGGAUGUUGACAAGCUGACUCUGCCUUUAUCCCCAAUAAAAUGGUGUUGUGUUUUACAAUUUAUUUACCAACUUUCAUCUCUCUAUCUUUAAUUUCUAAGUGAUGAUACAGCCACAAACUCUUGUACAAAUUUAUCUUGUACAAAUUAAUUUGGCAUUAAUUCAUUGGUUGAAUGAAAAUACAAAAUAAUAAAAAUAAAUCAUGUGGACCAAGAGAUAUUU
This 2357-nucleotide long non-coding RNA is filed under the name Citrus x clementina. RNAcentral describes it as "Citrus clementina (C. clementina) long non-coding RNA (CCLE_LNC006523)". Lineage: Eukaryota; Viridiplantae; Streptophyta; Magnoliopsida; Sapindales; Rutaceae. The record is from RNAcentral.